RNAcentral lists this transfer RNA (95 nucleotides) under Streptomyces sp. S4.7. RNAcentral's name for it is "tRNA-Ile". Lineage: Bacteria; Bacillati; Actinomycetota; Actinomycetes; Kitasatosporales; Streptomycetaceae. The record is from RNAcentral.
CGGUGAUCUGGAGGACGGCCUGCUCGCCGUCGCCGAUGACGGCGCAGUCGAUGAACUCGGCGAUCGGCUCGGGGUUGAACGCCGCGUGGCCGCCC